UGGGGAAUCUUGGACAAUGGGCGCAAGCCUGAUCCAGCCAUGCCGCGUGCGGGAAGAAGGCCUUCGGGUUGUAAACCGCUUUUGUCAGGGAAGAAACGCUCUGGGCUAAUACCCCGGGGUAAUGACGGUACCUGAAGAAUAAGCACCGGCUAACUACGUGCCAGCAGCCGCGGUAAUACGUAGGGUGCAAGCGUUAAUCGGAAUUACUGGGCGUAAAGCGUGCGCAGGCGGUUAUGCAAGACAGAUGUGAAAUCCCCGGGCUCAACCUGGGAACUGCAUUUGUGACUGUAUAGCUAGAGUACGGUAGAGGGGGAUGGAAUUCCGCGUGUAGCAGUGAAAUGCGUAGAUAUGCGGAGGAACACCGAUGGCGAAGGCAAUCCCCUGGACCUGUACUGACGCUCAUGCACGAAAGCGUGGGGAGCAAACAGGAUUAGAUACCCGGGUAGUCCCUGAGCGGGCUGGCAAGGCGCAU
This 472-nucleotide ribosomal RNA is filed under the name uncultured bacterium. RNAcentral's name for it is "bacterial SSU rRNA". It matches the Rfam family "Bacterial small subunit ribosomal RNA", at positions 355 to 825 of the family's 1533-position model. The record is from RNAcentral.